ACUAAGUCUACAGGGGUAAGCAAGAAAUAGUAAGGAAAGCUGGAACAUAUCUACAGCUAUCUGCCUCUAUACUAUCAUUCUCUGAUCUAACCAACUGUAGAACAUUGUCAACUCAGACCCAAUCUCGAAUAGGGACUGUAAUCAUACCCGUCCCUAGGACUGUGAACACAUCCGUCCCGCCAGAUUGCAACUAACCAGCUACCUCCACACUAACAAGCCCGUGGAGAGCAAGUCCAACCUACACGAACGACACCAA
This 256-nucleotide long non-coding RNA is filed under the name Ananas comosus (pineapple). RNAcentral describes it as "long non-coding RNA (ACOM_LNC014665)". The record is from RNAcentral. Lineage: Eukaryota; Viridiplantae; Streptophyta; Magnoliopsida; Poales; Bromeliaceae.